GAGAGUUAUAUAAAAGUUCCAGGCCUGCCCACUGAUAUUAUUGAAGGGCCGCGGUAUUUUGACCGUGCAAAGGUAGCAUAAUCAUUAGUUUUUUAAUUGAGGGCUAGAAUGAAUGGUUAGACGAGGUAUAGACUGUCUCUGUGUAAAAUAUAUAAUUUAAUUUUUGAGUUAAAAAGCUUAAAUGAUAAUAAGGGACGAGAAGACCCUAUAGAGCUUUAUAUUGAUUUUGAAUAAUUUGUUUUUAGAUGAUUUAUAUUUAUUUUAAGUUUCUAUUAUGUUGGGGUGACAUGAAGAUAUAAGUAACUCUUUAUUUAUUUAACGUUGAUUUACGGUUAUAUGAUCCAGUAUUAUUGAUUAGAAGAUAAAGUUACCUUAGGGAUAACAGCGUAAUUUUACUUGAGAGUUCGUAUCGAAAGUGGAGAUUGCGACCUCGAUGUUGGAUUAAGAAAAUGGUUAAAUGCAGUAGUUUAAUUUAUAGGUCUGUUCNACCUUUAAAAUCCUUACAUGAUCUGAGUUCA
This 518-nucleotide ribosomal RNA is filed under the name Eschatoceras sp. MCJ-2002. Its description in RNAcentral is "partial 16S ribosomal RNA". It matches the Rfam family "Bacterial large subunit ribosomal RNA", at positions 1834 to 2613 of the family's 2925-position model. Lineage: Eukaryota; Metazoa; Arthropoda; Insecta; Orthoptera; Tettigoniidae. The record is from RNAcentral.